GACGAACGCUGGCGGCGGGCUUAACACAUGCAAGUCGAACGGAAAGGCCCUGCUUUCGUGUGGUUCUCGAGUGGCGAACGGGUGAGAAACACGUGAGUAACCCGCCCUUGACUUUGGGAUAACUUCAGGAAACUGGGGCUACUGCCGGCUAGGAGCUCCUGCUGCAUGGUGGGGGUCGGAAAGUUUCGGUGGAUGUGGAUGGACUCCGGGCUUACCAGCUUGUUGGGUGGGGAGUGGCUUACCCAGGCAUUGACGGCUAGUCGGCCUGGGAGGGUGAACGGCGACAAUGGGACUACGGUACGGCGCAGACGCGUACGGUAGGCAGCAGGGGGAAGUAUUGCACAGUGGGCGGAAGCCUGUGGCAGAAGUGCCGCGUGCGGGAUGCCGGCCUUCGGGGUAUGAACCGCUUUAGCCUGUGACGAAGCGUUGGUGACGGUAAUGGGAAAAGAAGCACCGGCUAACUACGUG
Molecule: ribosomal RNA, 468 nt
Filed under: uncultured bacterium
Lineage: Bacteria
Description: partial 16S ribosomal RNA
Rfam family: Bacterial small subunit ribosomal RNA
Source: RNAcentral